RNAcentral lists this ribosomal RNA (253 nucleotides) under uncultured bacterium. Its description in RNAcentral is "partial 16S ribosomal RNA". It matches the Rfam family "Bacterial small subunit ribosomal RNA", at positions 524 to 776 of the family's 1533-position model. The record is from RNAcentral.
UACGUAGGGUGCAAGCGUUAAUCGGAAUUACUGGGCGUAAAGCGUGCGCAGGCGGUUGCAUAAGACAGAUGUGAAAUCCCCGGGCUCAACCUGGGAACUGCAUUUGUGACUGUGGGGCUAGAGUACGGUAGAGGGGGAUGGAAUUCCCCGUGUAGCAGUGAAAUGCGUAGAUAUGCGGAGGAACACCAAUGGCGAAGGCAAUCCCCUGGACCUGUACUGACGCUCAUGCACGAAAGCGUGGGGAGCAAGCAGG